Molecule: ribosomal RNA, 566 nt
Filed under: uncultured bacterium
Lineage: Bacteria
Description: bacterial SSU rRNA
Rfam family: Bacterial small subunit ribosomal RNA
Source: RNAcentral
GUCGAGCGAGAAGACGUAGCAAUACGUUUGUAAAGCGGCGAACGGGUGAGGAAUACAUGGGUAACCUACCCUCGAGUGGGGAAUAACUAGCCGAAAGGUUAGCUAAUACCGCGUACGCUCCUUGGACUUCGGUUCAGGGAGGAAAGCGAGGCCGUGGGUCUCGCGCUCUUGGAUGGGCUCAUGUCCUAUCAGCUUGUUGGUGAGGUAACGGCUCACCAAGGCUUCGACGGGUAGCUGGUCUGAGAGGACGAUCAGCCACACUGGCACUGCGACACGGGCCAGACUCCUACGGGAGGCAGCAGUAAGGAAUAUUGCGCAAUGGGCGAAAGCCUGACGCAGCGACGCCGCGUGGGGGAUGAAGGUCUUCGGAUUGUAAACCCCUUUCGGGAGGGAAGAUGGAGCGAGCAAUCGUUCGGACGGUACCUCCAGAAGCAGCCACGGCUAACUUCGUGCCAGCAGCCGCGGUAAUACGAAGGUGGCAAGCGUUGUUCGGAUUUACUGGGCGUACAGGGAGCGUAGGCGGUUCGGUAAGCCCUCUGUGAAAUCUCCAGGCUUAACCUGGAACA